UGCCCAGCAACUCCUAUCCCUACCUCCUCGUGGUACUGGCCGGGGUACGAGUAACCUUGGGGAAGAUCGGGUAACCAACCCCCGGUGGGAACUUUGGUCAUAUGCUGACAGGGAAGG
This 117-nucleotide ribozyme is filed under the name Aedes aegypti (yellow fever mosquito). RNAcentral describes it as "drz-agam-1 ribozyme". It matches the Rfam family "drz-agam-1 ribozyme". Lineage: Eukaryota; Metazoa; Arthropoda; Insecta; Diptera; Culicidae. The record is from Rfam by way of RNAcentral.